Molecule: long non-coding RNA, 943 nt
Filed under: Homo sapiens (human)
Lineage: Eukaryota; Metazoa; Chordata; Mammalia; Primates; Hominidae
Description: HSALNT0385181
Source: RNAcentral
ACUCGGCGCCGACCCCAGGAGACCGAAGACGGUGUGAAUCUCGUAGGGCUUCAGUGCCUUCUCCAGUUGCACCUAAAAGCGACCACAGACGCAGCGGGGGAAGUGCUUGGAUCCCACCAGAGCGUCCUCCCGGAGGAAAUUCGGGACAAAGGGGCGAUGUCGACCAUAGAGAACCGGCCUUAGGGGAUAGAGUCCCAGGGCCCGGCUGAGGGCUAGAGUAGCCGCCGAGCACCGGAAACCAGCGAGAUGAUGAGGCUGUGUGAACGGCCCGCUGCAGCCUAGAGCGCCGGCCCCGCUGUGGAGGGGCACGCGGACAACGCCACCAAGGAGCUGAGCGAGGAAAGAAGCGGGUGACCUUGGGGAGGCCCUGCGGGGAGGCGGAGCCUGAACUUACGACCUUGGUUUAUCUGAGGAAAGGGGCAGGCGGUCCAGGAGUUUGCAUCUCUGAGGCUGGAGAUGAAGAUGGUGGUAGUGGUGGGGGAGGGGGUGGGUAGAAAUAAUGAGGUCAGGGCCGGGCGCAGUGGCUCAUGCCUGUAAUCCCAGCACUUCGGAAGGCCGAGGCAGGUGGAUCACCUGAGGUCAGGAGUUUGAGACCAGCCUGACCAACAUGGUGAAACCCCAUCUGCAAUAAAAAUACAAAAAUUUUAGCCGGGCUUGGUGGCAGGCGCCUGUACUCCCAGCUACUUGAGAGGAGGCUGAGGCAGAAGAAUCACUUGAACCCCAGAGUCGGAAGUUGCAGUGAGCCAAGACUGCGCCACUGCAAUCCAGCCUGGGCAAAAGAGCGAGACUCCAUCUCAAAAAUAAUAACAAUAAUAAUAAUGAGGUCAAUUCCAGACGUGCUUUUGGGACGUCUGUGGGCAUAUAGUCUGGAGCUAAGAAGAGACAUCAAGGCCAGUUAGAGAAAUCGAGAACAAUUAAAGUACGGAGGGUAGUUGAAAGCAUG